This is a non-coding RNA of Stegodyphus mimosarum, 73 nucleotides long. The record is from Rfam. NCBI's taxonomy places the organism in Eukaryota, Metazoa, Arthropoda, Arachnida, Araneae, Eresidae.
GCAUUCGUAGUAUAAUGGUCAGCACACUCGACGCGUAACCGAGAUGUCCGUGGUUCGAUUCCCGGCGAAGGCG